CUCUCCCCUUCCUCCCCCCUUUCUCUUCCUCCUUCUCCCCCUCAACCUGCAUUUGGGGACAGAGGAGAUGUCCCGAGUCCUGCCCGGAGUCUCCCCUCCUCUCCCCUCUAAUUCUUUAGCAAAAUACACCAAAUCUUGGCUUUUCUCUCCAGCUCCCUCUGCUCCCCAGACCCUCUCUCUGUCCCUGGGCCCUAAAGCCCAGUUCCUUGAUCCUUAUAAGCCCCUCCCAAACUCUCCCAGUUCCCCCAUUCCGUCCCCAGCCCCAUCCCUGUUCCAUCCCAGCCCCAUCCUCAUCCCUAUCCCAUCCCAUCCCUAUCCCAUCCUCAUCCCAUUCCCAUCCCUAUCCCAUCCCCAUCCCUUUCACAUCUCAUCCCUUUCACAUCCUCAUCCCGUUCCCAUCCCGUUCCCAUCCCUAUCCCAUCCCCAUCCUCAUCCCCAUCCCCAUCCCUUUUGCAUCCCAUCCCUAUCCCAUUCCCAUCCCCAUCCUCAUCCCUUUUGCGUCCCAUCCCGUUCCCAUCCUCAUCCCAUCCCCAUCCUCAUCCCAUUCCCAUCCCAUCCCCAUCCUCAUCCCGUUCCCAUCCCCAUCCCUAUCCCAUCCCUAUCCCAUCCCUAUCCCAUCUUUAUCCUCAUCCUGUUCCCAUCCCAUCCUCAUCCCUAUCCCAUCCCCAUCCUCAUCCCUAUCCCAUCCCAUCCUGUCCCCAUCCUCAUCCCUUCUGCAUCCCAUCCCAUUCCCAUCCCCAUCCUCAUCCCUAUCUCAUCCCAUCCCAUUCCCAUCCUCAUCCUCAUCCCUUUUGCAUCCCAUUCCAUCCUCAUCCUCAUCCCUAUCCCAUCCCUAUCCCAUCCCAUCCUCAUCCCUAUCCCAUCCCUAUUCCAUCCCCAUCCUCAUCUCUUUUGCAUCCCAUCCCUAUCCCGUCCUUAUCCUCAUCCUCAUCCCAUCCCUAUCCCAUCCAAUCCUCAUCCCUUUCGCAUCCCAUCCCUAUCCCAUCCUCAUCCCAUCCCUAUCCCAUCUUCAUCCCCAUCCUCAUCCCUUUCGCAUCCCAUCCCUAUCCCGUCCUUAUCCUCAUCCCAUCCCCAUCCCUAUCCCAUCCUCAUCCCUAUCCCAUCCCAUCCCGUCCCCAUCCUCAUCCCUAUCCCAUCCCAUCCUCAUCCCUUUCGCAUCCCAUCCCUAUCCUAUCCCCAUCCCAUCCCUAUCCCAUCCUCAUCCUCAUCCUGUUCCUAUCCCAUCCCCAUCCCUCUCGCAUCCCAUCCCCAUCCCAUCCUCAUCCUCAUCCCAUUCCCNNNNNNNNNNNNNNNNNN
RNAcentral lists this long non-coding RNA (1296 nucleotides) under Calidris pugnax (ruff). Its description in RNAcentral is "lncRNA (ENSCPUG00000015764.1)". Lineage: Eukaryota; Metazoa; Chordata; Aves; Charadriiformes; Scolopacidae. The record is from RNAcentral.